Molecule: ribosomal RNA, 468 nt
Filed under: uncultured bacterium
Lineage: Bacteria
Description: partial 16S ribosomal RNA
Rfam family: Bacterial small subunit ribosomal RNA
Source: RNAcentral
GACGAACGCUGGCGGCGUGCUUAACACAUGCAAGUCGAACGGAAAGGCCCUGCUUUUGUGGUGUGCUCGAGUGGCGAACGGGUGAGUAACACGUGAGUAACCUGCCCUUGACUUUGGGAUAACUUCAGGAAACUGGGGCUAAUACCGGAUAGGAUCUCCUGCUGCAUGGUGGGGGUUGGAAAGUCUCGGCGGUUGGGGAUGGACUCGCGGCUUAUCAGCUUGUUGGUGGGGUAGUGGCUUACCAAGGCUUUGACGGGUAGCCGGCCUGAGAGGGUGACCGGCCACAUUGGGACUGAGAUACGGCCCAGACUCCUACGGGAGGCAGCAGUGGGGAAUAUUGCACAAUGGGCGGAAGCCUGAUGCAGCAACGCCGCGUGCGGGAUGACGGCCUUCGGGUUGUAAACCGCUUUCGCCUGUGACGAAGCGUGAGUGACGGUAAUGGGUAAAGAAGCACCGGCUAACUACGUG